UGAGUCACGGCGAGGCAGCCAGACGCGUAGGUUCCUCUCAGGAACCCGGAGGAAACCUGAGCGCGGUCCCCGUUACCUAAUCCCUCGCUCAGGAUUUCCCUGCGCUCAGCGUUUCCGCCGCCGCCUCCGCGCGGGGUCCCUGAGGGGAGCCGGAAUCAGACCACGGUUUGUGUGUACUGCAUCAUCGGUGAGUCACCAGCCUCGAGAGAUGGCACGGCAAUGCAGGGCUGCAGUUAGAAAGAGUGUGACUGUAUGUAAUGAAGCCAGACAACAAGGCCGAGCGCAAUAAGAGAGAGAAGAACCAGCUGGGACCAGGUGCGGCUUGAAGAGAUGCCCAAGGAGUCUAAGAGCAAACACAAAGAGAGGGGAAAAGUUCAACUGUGAGGAAGAUCUACAGCUUUCCUCCCGAGACCCUCCAAGGGCAGAGAAUGUGCACCGAGGGGAGGAAAGCUCUUCAAGCUCAAUGGGAUAAUUAUUGUUCAAUUCACUAAAAUAAUUUCAGUUGCUUGAGUGAGAACAGUGAGAAUUCAAAAGGAAAACAGUGAGAAAGCUCUUGUUGAUGAGCUGCAUCACGCUCCAGGCGGAGAGAGUUGGCGUUGUUCAGCCUGGAGAAGGCUCCAAGGACACCUUAGAGCGACCUUCCAGUACCUGAAGGGGCUACAAGAAGUUCCAAACCACUCCAUGAUUCGCUAACAGUUACA
Cuculus canorus (common cuckoo) is the source of this 701-nucleotide long non-coding RNA. RefSeq lists it as uncharacterized. The record is from RefSeq and is a predicted model, not a curated record. The transcript has 5 exons. Lineage: Eukaryota; Metazoa; Chordata; Aves; Cuculiformes; Cuculidae.